Molecule: ribosomal RNA, 253 nt
Filed under: uncultured bacterium
Lineage: Bacteria
Description: partial 16S ribosomal RNA
Rfam family: Bacterial small subunit ribosomal RNA
Source: RNAcentral
UACGGAGGGUGCAAGCGUUGUUCGGAAUUACUGGGCGUAAAGAGCGUGUAGGCGGUAUGGUAAGUCAGAUGUGAAAGCCCUGGGCUUAACCCAGGAAGUGCAUUUGAUACUGCUAUUCUUGAGUAUGGGAGAGGAGAGUGGAAUUCCCAGUGUAGAGGUGAAAUUCGUAGAUAUUGGGAGGAACAUCCGUGGCGAAGGCGACUCUCUGGACCAAUACUGACGCUGAGACGCGAAAGCGUGGGGAGCAAACAGG